This 522-nucleotide unclassified non-coding RNA is filed under the name Zea mays. Its description in RNAcentral is "misc RNA Zm00001eb089830". The record is from RNAcentral. Lineage: Eukaryota; Viridiplantae; Streptophyta; Magnoliopsida; Poales; Poaceae.
CUGGAUUUUUCUGCGCUCAGCGUCUUCCUCUGCCGCACGUCGGCAAUAGUUCUCCUCCCUCCAGCUCGCCGGCGUUAUCCUCUGCGCCGCUUUGGCUUACAAAAAUCCUGGCUGCCGGUGUUUAUCUCCUCACGGCGCCGCCCUGGGACUCUUCAAAUACCCUGCCGUGCUCUCUCUCUUCAAUGUUCCUCUCGUUCCCUGACGAGCUGCCAUGGCGUCCACGUCUGUCGCGGUAUCCUGGCUCCUCGCCCAGGACGGCACUCGGCCCUGCCCCUACCCCAACUUCCUGCACGCCAUGGAGAUUUCUUCAAGCUCGCUCCAACGCCGCUCCUUUUCCCCAACCGCGCCAGGCGGUCUGUCUCCCUGUGCGCUCGAUUUAGUUCGGUUUCUUCCCUGGACGCGCGCUCUGCAGCUUGCCGGAGCACCCUGCGUCGCGCCCGGGUGCUUUGCUUCUUGCUCGCCGAGCCCUCCCCAGCUCGUGGAUCUCCCUCGCCGGCGUCCUCUGCUCCUCCUGGUUGCUGA